Transfer RNA from Felis catus (domestic cat), 86 nucleotides. It matches the Rfam family "tRNA". From Rfam's summary of the family: Transfer RNA (tRNA) molecules are approximately 80 nucleotides in length. Lineage: Eukaryota; Metazoa; Chordata; Mammalia; Carnivora; Felidae. The record is from Rfam.
GGUUGGGUGGCUCAGUCGGUUGAGUGCCUGACUUCAGCUCAGGUCAUGAUCUCACGGUUUUGUGGGUUCCAGCCCCACCUUGGGCU